UGUGGUUACAAUAGCAGAGAGGAUACACCUGUUCCCAUUCCGAACACAGAAGUUAAGCUCUCUAGCGCUGAUGGUACUUG
Molecule: ribosomal RNA, 80 nt
Filed under: Clostridioides difficile
Lineage: Bacteria; Bacillati; Bacillota; Clostridia; Peptostreptococcales; Peptostreptococcaceae
Source: RNAcentral